Molecule: non-coding RNA, 378 nt
Organism: Xyrichtys novacula (pearly razorfish)
Lineage: Eukaryota; Metazoa; Chordata; Actinopteri; Labriformes; Labridae
Source: the annotation of a GenBank genome assembly
CUGUUUCAAUCUUCAAUCUGCACACUAAAUUCUCAUUUUUGCAAACGAUUCCUGAUGUGAAAUUACUGCUGUAGCCUCAAACUUUGACUAAUAUAAAAACAUCACUGUUUUCCCCCUUGCUGCUGCUUAAAGUGUUGACAAUGACACUUAAUUUCAGCAGAGGACAGUGAUGGGUCAACAGCACAAUCAACACAGAUCUGUCAAAGAUCUGACUGCCUUUCUUCAGGAUCAGGGAGGGAAAAAAGCAGUCACAAGAGUAUGUAACUGUCUUUAAAUGUGUGUUCCUCAUUGAUUUAAUCUUCAAGUUUAAAUGCUCCGCUAUCAUACAGCUGAGUGUCUCUUUCCUUGCAGGGUCAAAGGUCAAGUGUUGUAGAUAUG